Erpetoichthys calabaricus (reedfish) is the source of this 1173-nucleotide long non-coding RNA. RefSeq lists it as uncharacterized. The record is from RefSeq and is a predicted model, not a curated record. The transcript has 2 exons. Lineage: Eukaryota; Metazoa; Chordata; Cladistia; Polypteriformes; Polypteridae.
UCGACAUGGCAAAGGCCUUCAUCAGAGAAGACUGGCGGAUUACGUUGUCCACUGUUGCUCCACAUUUGGAUAUCACCUAUGGAUCUGCAGGUGCCAUAGUGCACGAUGACUUGACGUACCAUAAAGUUUGUACAAGAUGGAUGCCCAGACAACCUGCUGAUCUACACAAGCCAACAUCCUUUGGUGAAGUUCUGCAGGUUUCACUUCCUUGGCCCAAAGAAAUCUCAUUGCAGAGUGUUGUUCAACAAUGGUGCUAUCCCGCAGCAGAGCGUCCAUGUUUAUUUGACCUUAGCUUAAACUAGAUUAAUAUUAGAGCACUGCACUAUUCGUGUUUAAACUACCCAUAAGCCACCACUAACGUGUUAUAUUACGUCAGCUUCUUUCCAUUACAGUGUACAGCGUAAUUUUCAAAUUGCCUUUACUUUUUGAUUUACCCUUAUAUUAACAGAUUGAUAAUUUUUCAAAAGAGCUGCGUUCAUUUAUAAUUUCAAUACUCAUUUGAAAUAUUUAAAAUUUUUACUGUAUAAACAUGCUUAAUAUGUUCAUAAAAGACUCCAUGAUUUGCAAAACUUUCUGGGAAAAAAAAUAUGAAGGCACUAUUAUACUGACACUUCAGCACCUGCAAAAGUAAUGAUUCCAUAGUAACUUCUGUAUAUUUUUUUCUUUAUGUUUCUUCAAUUUUACAGUUUUACCACUCGGCUGGUAAAGAACCUGGGACUCUUUGUUACAAGCAUCCAAGGACUGACUAGCAACAAUUAUCAGACCUACUGGGAAUUUUUCUCUGGAUCCAACAUGUUGUACGAAGGGAUUGGAGGCUACAUACCAAGCAAUGGAGAAAACAUUGUGGCCCGUUUCCUGCAAUUCUGACAAAAUUGAGGACUAAACCUGAAGUAGUCACCAAUACGUUUUGUCUAGGAGGAUAGUCCAGAGCUUUGGCACUUGUUCUUUUCCUUUUGCUUGUCAAUUUGUGAGAAAAUGAAGGAACUCAUUCAUUCUUGUAGAAACCUGUGUAUGGUAUCUGGUAUCAUUAGUUUUCUAAUAAAGACAUACUUCCAUUCUAAUGUUUUUCUGCUUAAUUUGGUUCUUUGCUAUUCUGUUUUGAAUCUUGCAUGAAAAUGUGCAAACACAGCUAUUUUCUAGCCACUGCAACAAAUAAAAAUCCAUUUCAUUGUA